UUAUGGCCAUAUCACAUUGAAACACCAGUUCUCAUACAAUCACCAAAGUUAAGCAAUGUUGACUUUGGUCAAUAUAUAGAUGGGUGGCCGUUUGGGAAUACCAGGUGCUGUAAG
Non-coding RNA from Acanthosepion pharaonis, 114 nucleotides. Lineage: Eukaryota; Metazoa; Mollusca; Cephalopoda; Sepiida; Sepiidae. The record is from the annotation of a GenBank genome assembly.